This 253-nucleotide ribosomal RNA is filed under the name uncultured bacterium. RNAcentral describes it as "partial 16S ribosomal RNA". It matches the Rfam family "Bacterial small subunit ribosomal RNA", at positions 524 to 776 of the family's 1533-position model. The record is from RNAcentral.
UACGUAGGUGGCAAGCGUUGUCCGGAUUUAUUGGGUUUAAAGGGUGCGUAGGCGGUCUUUUAAGUCAGUGCUGAAAUAUCCCGGCUUAACCGGGAGGGUGGCAUUGAUACUGAAGGACUUGAGUAAAGUUGAGGUAGGCGGAAUUGACGGUGUAGCGGUGAAAUGCUUAGAUAUCGUCAAGAACACCGAUAGUGUAGACAGCUUACUAAGCUUUAGCUGACGCUGAGGCACGAAAGUGUGGGGAUCAAACAGG